This 525-nucleotide ribosomal RNA is filed under the name uncultured bacterium. Its description in RNAcentral is "bacterial SSU rRNA". It matches the Rfam family "Bacterial small subunit ribosomal RNA", at positions 251 to 774 of the family's 1533-position model. The record is from RNAcentral.
GGUGGGGUGAUGGCCUACCAAGGCGACGACGGGUAGCCGGCCUGAGAGGGUGUCCGGCCACACUGGGACUGAGAUACGGCCCAGACUCCUACGGGAGGCAGCAGUGGGGAAUAUUGCACAAUGGGCGCAAGCCUGAUGCAGCGACGCCGCGUGGGGGAUGACGGCCUUCGGGUUGUAAACCUCUUUCACCAUCGGCGAAGCCUUCAGCUUUUGUUGGGGGUGACGGUAGGUGGAGAAGAAGCACCGGCCAACUACGUGCCAGCAGCCGCGGUAAUACGUAGGGUGCGAGCGUUGUCCGGAAUUACUGGGCGUAAAGAGCUCGUAGGUGGUUUGUCGCGUUGUUCGUGAAAUUCCCUGGCUUAACUGGGGGCGUGCGGGCGAUACGGGCAGACUGGAGUACUGCAGGGGAGACUGGAAUUCCUGGUGUAGCGGUGGAAUGCGCAGAUAUCAGGAGGAACACCGGUGGCGAAGGCGGGUCUCUGGGCAGUAACUGACGCUGAGGAGCGAAAGCGUGGGGAGCGAACA